This 301-nucleotide ribosomal RNA is filed under the name uncultured Neomoorella sp. RNAcentral describes it as "bacterial SSU rRNA". It matches the Rfam family "Bacterial small subunit ribosomal RNA", at positions 496 to 795 of the family's 1533-position model. Lineage: Bacteria; Bacillati; Bacillota; Clostridia; Neomoorellales; Neomoorellaceae. The record is from RNAcentral.
CGAGAGCUCGUGCCCGUAGGCGGUGUAAGACGGAUGUGGCGAGCGCGGGCCGGGUGUAGUGGGCGUAAAGAGCUGGUAGGCGGCUUGUGUCGGCGAGUGGGAAAACACAUGGCUCAACCAUGCGGUCUGCAGUGGAUACGGGCAGACUAGAAUUCGGUAGGGGAGACUGGAAUGCCUGGGGUAGCGGUGAAAUGCGCAGAUAUCAGGAGGAACACCGGUGGCGAAGGCGGGUCUCUGGGCCGAUAUUGACGCUGAGGAGCGAAAGCGUGGGGAGCGAACAGGAUUAGAUACCCCUGUAGUC